GGCCUAACACAUGCAAGUCGAACGGUAACAGGAAGCAGCUUGCUGCUUCGCUGACGAGUGGCGGACGGGUGAGUAAUGUCUGGGAAGCUGCCUGAUGGAGGGGGAUAACUACUGGAAACGGUAGCUAAUACCGCAUAAUGUCGCAAGACCAAAGAGGGGGACCUUCGGGCCUCUUGCCAUCGGAUGUGCCCAGAUGGGAUUAGCUUGUUGGUGGGGUAACGGCUCACCAAGGCGACGAUCCCUAGCUGGUCUGAGAGGAUGACCAGCCACACUGGAACUGUGACACGGUCCAGACUCCUACGGGAGGCAGCAGUGGGGAAUAUUGCACAAUGGGCGCAAGCCUGAUGCAGCCAUGCCGCGUGUAUGAAGAAGGCCUUCGGGUUGUAAAGUACUUUCAGCGGGGAGGAAGGGAGUAAAGUUAAUACCUUUGCUCAUUGACGUUACCCGCAGAAGAAGCACCGGCUAACUCCGUGCCAGCAGCCGCGGUAAUACGGAGGGUGCAAGCGUUAAUCGGAAUUACUGGGCGUAAAGCGCACGCAGGCGGUUUGUUAAGUCAGAUGUGAAAUCCCCGGGCUCAACCUGGGAACUGCAUCUGAUACUGGCAAGCUUGAGUCUCGUAGAGGGGGGUAGAAUUCCAGGUGUAGCGGUGAAAUGCGUAGAGAUCUGGAGGAAUACCGGUGGCGAAGGCGGCCCCCUGGACGAAGACUGACGCUCAGGUGC
RNAcentral lists this ribosomal RNA (720 nucleotides) under uncultured Escherichia sp. RNAcentral's name for it is "bacterial SSU rRNA". It matches the Rfam family "Bacterial small subunit ribosomal RNA", at positions 45 to 754 of the family's 1533-position model. The record is from RNAcentral. Lineage: Bacteria; Pseudomonadati; Pseudomonadota; Gammaproteobacteria; Enterobacterales; Enterobacteriaceae. RNAcentral also lists the same sequence under 1 other name.